GUCGGGUGGGGGAGAGGGGGGUUGUAGGUUGGAGGAGGGAAUAUAUAGGAAAUCAGGGUGACAUUUAAAGCUGAGGGUGCAUAGUGUCCCCCCACCAGUGUUUCAGGGAGAAAUUUGAACUCGCAUUUGCACACAAAUAGCAGGAUUUUAAGAGAGCCCAGGUGAAGGCGUCACCCUCAGAAUGGAAGGGGUGGGGAGAAGGGCCGGGGUGCAGUUUCAGGGAGGAGGUACCCUUAGCUGCAGAAUCACCGUCCUGCACGUGUGUACCUCUGCAAUGUGGUCAAAUAGAGCGGCUGUGGACGCGACACCACCCAUUUGCCUUUUAAGUUAGCAAGCCCAAAGUAUGCUUUAAUGUUUACUUUUUAAGAUUUUUAGAAAAGGUAGAAGACGACUCUAUUUCCUAAUAUGGUAAUUACUGCUUUUGUCAAAAUGUGAAUGCUGCGUGCACAUUUCUGCAAUAGCAUCAGUGAACACCAUGUUGAAAUCACAUUUUUUUUUCCCUUUUCCUCCAAUUUUGUGGGAUUCUCGUUCCUUGUUGAGGCACCCUUGGCUAAUGGGAAAAGCACUGGAUCUGGUAGAGAAAAAGAAUUUGAAUCUCCUCUACCACUCUUCACUCAUGGGCUCUUGGGCAAAUUCCCUAAGUUUCCCUGACCUCCAGUUCCAGCAAGGUGGAAUGGGAAGCGGGGCCUCAUCAUACGAGCAUUGCAGGACUGUUGUGAGGGUCAGAUGAAAUUACGCAUCCAGAGUGAAAAGAUGGCCAUCUCUGAACCAGCGAGAGGAUCCUCACCAGACACCAAAUCUGACGUCUUGAUCUUGGACUUCUUAGCCUUCAAAAUGAU
This 839-nucleotide long non-coding RNA is filed under the name Pan troglodytes (chimpanzee). RNAcentral's name for it is "long non-coding RNA NONPTRT001456". Lineage: Eukaryota; Metazoa; Chordata; Mammalia; Primates; Hominidae. The record is from RNAcentral.